RNAcentral lists this microRNA precursor (98 nucleotides) under Marmota monax (woodchuck). Lineage: Eukaryota; Metazoa; Chordata; Mammalia; Rodentia; Sciuridae. The record is from RNAcentral.
AGUGGGAUAGCUAGGUCAAAUGGUGGUUCCAAGUUUUCUGAGGAAUCUCCAUAUUGCUUUCCAUAGUGGUUGCACCAUUUUGCAGUCCCACCAGCAAU